GAUGAACGCUGGCGGCGUGCCUAAUACAUGCAAGUCGAGCGAACGGACGAGAAGCUUGCUUUUCUGAUGUUAGCGGCGGACGGGUGAGUAACACGUGGAUAACCUACCUAUAAGACCGGGAUAACUUCGGGAAACCGGAGCUAAUACCGGAUAAUAUUUUGAACCGCAUGGUUCAAAAGUGAAAGACGGUUUUGCUGUCACUUAUAGAUGGAUCCGCGCUGCAUUAGCUAGUUGGUAAGGUAACGGCUUACCAAGGCAACGAUGCAUAGCCGACCUGAGAGGGUGAUCGGCCACACUGGAACUGAGACACGGUCCAGACUCCUACGGGAGGCAGCAGUAGGGAAUCUUCCGCAAUGGGCGAAAGCCUGACGGAGCAACGCCGCGUGAGUGAUGAAGGUCUUCGGAUCGUAAAACUCUGUUAUUAGGGAAGAACAUAUGUGUAAGUAACUGUGCACGUCUUGACGGUACCUAAUCAGAAAGCCACGGCUAACUACGUG
Molecule: ribosomal RNA, 497 nt
Filed under: uncultured bacterium
Lineage: Bacteria
Description: partial 16S ribosomal RNA
Rfam family: Bacterial small subunit ribosomal RNA
Source: RNAcentral